Molecule: ribosomal RNA, 165 nt
Filed under: uncultured bacterium
Lineage: Bacteria
Description: partial 16S ribosomal RNA
Rfam family: Bacterial small subunit ribosomal RNA
Source: RNAcentral
UAGGGAAUCUUCCACAAUAGGGCGAAAGCCUGAUGGAGCAACGCCGCGUGUGUGAUGAAGGCUUUCGGGUCGUAAAGCACUGUUGUAUGGGAAGAACAGCUAGAAUAGGAAAUGAUUUUAGUUUGACGGUACCAUACCAGAAAGGGACGGCUAAAUACGUGCAAG